Non-coding RNA from Triticum urartu, 176 nucleotides. NCBI's taxonomy places the organism in Eukaryota, Viridiplantae, Streptophyta, Magnoliopsida, Poales, Poaceae. The record is from Rfam.
UUAGUACUCCCUCCGUCCCAAAAUUCUUGUCUUAAAUUCAUCUAUAUACGGAUGUAUCUAAUACUAAAACAUGACUUGAUACAUCCGGAUUUAGACAAAUCUAAGGCAAGAAUUAUUAGAUACAUCCAUAUCUAGAUGAAUUUAAGACAAGAAUUUUGGGAUGGAGGGAGUAGAUU